CUGAGUUGCAAAACUCCCCACCAUUGUGAACCUACCUAUCGUUGCUUCGGCAGGGGAGGCCCUCAGCGGCCUCGCGCCCACCCCUCGGGGGAGGCAGCCCGCCGGAGGCGUCCAAACUAUAGCAUACAUUGGCCUCUCUGAGUAGCUUAUAGAAUAAGUCA
RNAcentral lists this unclassified non-coding RNA (161 nucleotides) under soil metagenome. RNAcentral describes it as "partial internal transcribed spacer 1". The record is from RNAcentral.